Molecule: long non-coding RNA, 1481 nt
Organism: Dromaius novaehollandiae (emu)
Lineage: Eukaryota; Metazoa; Chordata; Aves; Casuariiformes; Dromaiidae
Exons: 3
Source: RefSeq, a predicted model, not a curated record
GACACAGUUCCUGCCUCUGCUAGGGACUUCUUUCCCCCCUAAAAAGGGUCUCCGUGCUCCACGACUGGGUUACCUUCUGUGCAAGAUGGGAUCCUGCUCAUGUAACCUAAUGUCGCAAACUUGAUGGUGGGAUUUUGAGAUUAUCAAGGCCGCUGAGAUGAGAACACAUGUUUUUCCUACUGCAUUAAGCGUUUUGAAUGUAUGCUAAAAAUGUUAAUACGUUAUUCAAGGGACUGGAAUUUUUCUUUCAGGUAGGAUGCCUUUAGGUUGUUUGUGCUUCUCACACAACUGCAGCUUUGCCCUGGAGUCAGAGCUGCAGCAAGGCUGGGGCGAGAGGGACAUCUGUCCGCUGAGGAAGGCCCCAAAUGCGUGCAAAUACGCCAGACCCCCCCAGCCGCUGUGGUGACCUGGAAAAACAGCCUGGAGAUUUACAGUGAGCAGGAGGUGACGGCAGCAAUGGGAAGGAGCCCAAAAAGGAGGCGACAGAGUGCCCUGGGCACCCAGCGGGCACCAGGAAUAAAACCUCUGCAAAUAGAAAGGGCCGGUGGGGCCCCGUCACCAUGGCAUGAAGUGGCAAGGAGGCUCCCCGGGGGGCCGGGAAGGUCCCGGGGCGGCACAGACCCUGCCGCACAGCCUGGCAGCUGCACCAAGGCUGUGCGGGAGGGCGGAUGGGCACCACGAGCCAGGCGCCGUGCUGCCUGCCGGCCAUCGGGUGCACAAAUCCCAGAGCCCAUUUGGAGACUUUUGGUAUUUCUCCCCUUUCUGGCUUUAUCACGUAUGGUCAUUUCAUUUGUAUUGCAAAAAAUUCUUGUAUUGGCUUGUCCUCAUCCUGAAUCUGCAGUGAGCCAUCAGACCGAGUUUUCCUCCUGAAGGGUACCCACAGCUAGACACUGGUGUUUUGCAGUAUCAUUUGAACAAGGGUCAGGUUUCUCUUUGGAUUUCUAAACUCCAGUUUAACUCCAGUUGACCUGCAGGAGGGCCGAUAGCAGAGCCGCCCUCCAGGUAGCUGAGCUCAGCGUGCAGGCGCAGGAUGUCUUGCUGGCUCUUGGCAGAGUCUUUGCUGCACAUCCACCGGCAGCGUUGCAGGGGCACAGAGCACGCUACCAGCGCCGGCGUGCAGUGCUGGGGAAAAAAUCCCACGUGCAGAGAAGUGGAAACCGCGUGGCUCUGCAGAAGGAAGUGGGGAAGAAUUUUGGGGGCAUCACCAGGCUGAGCAGGACCCUGUGAGCAUUUCCGAACCAUGCUGUGCACUGCAGAGCUCAGUGACUUGAAUGGGACAUGCGUGUGCUCAGUCUGCUCUGCCAUCCUCAGCACCUGGCAGGAUUGUGCCCAUAUUUUGACUCCUAAACAUGGCCUCAGUGUGGCCUGGCGUCGAUGUCAGCCCUUGCAGCAAGCAGAGCAUGUGGUUCAGCCUGUCUGCUUGCAGCUUGCUUUUUUCCAUCCUCUCGCGGUUCUAUCACUACCAUAAAAUGCAGGUCUGA